AGGAUGAACGCUAGCGGCAGGCCUAAUACAUGCAAGUCGGACGGGAUUGGAGAGCUUGCUUUCCAUGAGAGUGGCGCACGGGUGCGUAACACGUAUGUAACCUACCUUCGUCAGGGGGAUAGCCUCUCGAAAGAGAGAUUAAGACCGCAUAACAUUAUGAAGUAGCAUUACUUUAUAAUCAAAUAUUUAUAGGACGAAGAUGGGCAUGCGGAACAUUAGCUAGUUGGUAAGGUAACGGCUUACCAAGGCUACGAUGUUUA
Molecule: ribosomal RNA, 260 nt
Filed under: uncultured bacterium
Lineage: Bacteria
Description: partial small subunit ribosomal RNA
Rfam family: Bacterial small subunit ribosomal RNA
Source: RNAcentral